Molecule: long non-coding RNA, 1320 nt
Organism: Rattus norvegicus (Norway rat)
Lineage: Eukaryota; Metazoa; Chordata; Mammalia; Rodentia; Muridae
Source: RefSeq, a predicted model, not a curated record
UAGUAACUAAGACAACCCCUAAGGCAGACAAAUACCUUUGAGGGAUUUUUUUUACACUAAAUACCACAGACUCCUCUCUCCUUUUUCUAGCUAAAAAUUUGUGAUGGAACCAUUUCUGCAUACUCUGUCUUCUGCCUCAACCUUUCAACCCUGUACUCUCAACUUCUUGAACUCGACAUACCCAAAAGUGUGUGUCAUCUUUCUUUUAAAAACUGUGACCUUGAAUUGAGCAUGCUCAGAAAUGAAUUACACGACUGAGCAUGCUCAGGAAUGAAUUACACGACUGAGCAUGCUCAGAAAUGAAUUACACGACUGAGCAUGCUCAGGAAUGAAUUACACGACUGAGCAUGCUCAGGAAUGUCCCCACACGUGACGCUGUUCCUUGUAUGUGUGUAGGCUGUCAGAGUCAGCACCUGUGCCUUCUUUGCUUAACCGGGGCAUUGUCUGGACACAUCUCCUGAGCUCUCCUAACCUGUCUGCUUCAGGUGAGGCUUCAGGCGGCAGAGGGAGACCGUCUUCCCCAGGCAGCCAGAAAGAGGCCAUCUUUCCCACUGAGUGAAGCCUGAGCAUAGGAAGCCUCAAAGCCGACCUACAGUGACACACUUCCUUCAACAAGGCCACACCUCCUCCAAUAAGGUCACAUCUCCUAAUAAUGCCACUCCCCAUGGGCCAAGCAUUCAAACACUUGAGUGUAUAGAGGCCAAACCUAUUCAGGCCACCACAUACAUGUAUGCAAUACAUUGUGAUUACUCUCACCUCCCCAACAUCUCUUGUUUCCCUUACCUCCAUCAGUUUCUCCUCCUCCCUAACAACUCCAUUUCUUAUACAUGCCUUUUGUUAUUUUUGGUGAACCACUGAGUUUAACCAGACCCAUCUAUGUGACUGUGACUGUUGAACCGUCCAUUGGAGCCUGGUGAGUUCACACAACUGAAGACAACAAAUGCCAUACCCCAGAACACACCAGGAACCAUUAGUUCAGGUUCUUUGACUUCUUCCAACCCCACGAGGAACUACUUCCACUUGCCAUUAACGUCAACAUUCCUUUACACCAUGUACAUCUCAGCGUCUUUACUCCUCCCUUGAUAUCUUUGUUCCCCUUGAAAAAAAUCAUGUGUUCAAUUUUAAAUGUUAUGUUUUUAUACUUUUUAAUGAAUGUUGUCUUUUAACACUUAAGCUCCCCAGUGGGACGUGGGGUAACAGUUCCCUCAUUUUAUUCCAUCCGUAUAGUUUUAAGAUUACAUGAGUCGACAGGGCUGAUUCUUAAGGGCUUAUUCUUACUUAAGUUUGUGUUCUUAAUACAUUAAAAGAAUAAUUGUCCUC